RNAcentral lists this ribosomal RNA (484 nucleotides) under uncultured bacterium. Its description in RNAcentral is "partial 16S ribosomal RNA". It matches the Rfam family "Bacterial small subunit ribosomal RNA", at positions 30 to 507 of the family's 1533-position model. The record is from RNAcentral.
AUUGAACGCUGGCGGCAGGCCUAACACAUGCAAGUCGAGCGGAUGAAGGGAGCUUGCUCCUGGAUUCAGCGGCGGACAGGUGAGUAAUGCCUAGGAAUCUGCCUGGUAGUGGGGGAUAACGUCCGGAAACGGGCGCUAAUACCGCAUACGUCCUGAGGGAGAAAGUGGGGGAUCUUCGGAUCUCACGCUAUCAGAUGAGCCUAGGUCGGAUUAGCUAGUUGGUGGGGUAAAGGCCUACCAAGGCGACGAUCCGUAACUGGUCUGAGAGGAUGAUCAGUCACACUGGAACUGAGACACGGUCCAGACUCCUACGGGAGGCAGCAGUGGGGAAUAUUGGACAAUGGGCGAAAGCCUGAUCCAGCCAUGCCGCGUGUGUGAAGAAGGUCUUCGGAUUGUAAAGCACUUUAAGUUGGGAGGAAGGGCAGUAAGUUAAUACCUUGCUGUUUUGACGUUACCAACAGAAUAAGCACCGGCUAACUUCGUG